AGUUUUCGGACAACGGAUGUAGAGGAAAGUGGCGGACGGGUGAGUAACGCGUGGGUGACCUGCCCCAUACCGGGGGAUAACAGCUGGAAACGGCUGCUAAUACCGCAUAAGCGCACAGUGCUGCAUGGCACAGUGUGAAAAACUCCGGUGGUAUGAGAUGGACCCGCGUCUGAUUAGCUGGUUGGUGGGGUAACGGCCUACCAAGGCGACGAUCAGUAGCCGGCCUGAGAGGGUGAACGGCCACAUUGGGACUGAGAUACGGCCCAGACUCC
RNAcentral lists this ribosomal RNA (272 nucleotides) under uncultured Lachnospiraceae bacterium. RNAcentral describes it as "partial 16S ribosomal RNA". It matches the Rfam family "Bacterial small subunit ribosomal RNA", at positions 75 to 339 of the family's 1533-position model. The record is from RNAcentral. Lineage: Bacteria; Bacillati; Bacillota; Clostridia; Lachnospirales; Lachnospiraceae.